Molecule: ribosomal RNA, 498 nt
Filed under: uncultured bacterium
Lineage: Bacteria
Description: bacterial SSU rRNA
Rfam family: Bacterial small subunit ribosomal RNA
Source: RNAcentral
CUACGUGCCAGCAGCCGCGGUAAUACGGAGGGUGCGAGCGUUAAUCGGAAUAACUGGGCGUAAAGGGCACGCAGGCGGUGACUUAAGUGAGGUGUGAAAGCCCCGGGCUUAACCUGGGAAUUGCAUUUCAUACUGGGUCGCUAGAGUACUUUAGGGAGGGGUAGAAUUCCACGUGUAGCGGUGAAAUGCGUAGAGAUGUGGAGGAAUACCGAAGGCGAAGGCAGCCCCUUGGGAAUGUACUGACGCUCAUGUGCGAAAGCGUGGGGAGCAAACAGGAUUAGAUACCCUGGUAGUCCACGCUGUAAACGAUGUCGAUUUGGGGGUUGAGCUUUAAGUUUGGCGCCCGUAGCUAACGUGAUAAAUCGACCGCCUGGGGAGUACGGCCGCAAGGUUAAAACUCAAAUGAAUUGACGGGGGCCCGCMCAAGCGGUGGAGCAUGUGGUUUAAUUCGAUGCAACGCGAAGAACCUUACCUACUCUUGACAUCCAGAGAACAUUC